AUGAGCCACCUCGUCGUGGUCGUGGCAUCCCUCGCCGUCGUGCUGCUGGCGCGGUGCGCAGCGGCGUAUCCGUGGCAUUUGUGCGGCACGGCGGCCAACUUCACGGCCAACACCACGUACCAGGCCAACCUCGGCCUCCUCGCCGCGGCGCUGCCCAAGAACAUCUCCUCGUCCCGGCACCUCUUCGCCACCGCCGUGGUCGGCGCCGCCCCGGACCAGGUCUCGGCGCUCGCGCUCUGCCGGGGCGACGCCAACGCCACGGCCUGCUCCGGCUGCCUCGCCGUGGCCUUCCAGGACGUGCAGAACCAGUGCGCCUACGACAAGGACGCCGCCAUCUACUACGACCCCUGCGCCCUCUACUACUCCUCCAACGCCACCUCCCUCGCCUCCAUGGAUAACGUCGGGAGGACGAACCGCGUCAACAACCAGAACGUCACGUCCGACCCCGGGCGGUUCAACCGCCAGGCGGCCGCGCUCGUGAGCGCCACCGCCGACUACGCGGCGUACAACUCCACGCGCCGGUACGCGUCCGGGGAGGCCGACCUCGGCGUCGGCGGCCAGUUCCCCAGGGUGUACAGCUGGGCGCAGUGCACGCCGGACCUGACGCCGGCGCGGUGCCGUGGUUGCCUCGCCGGACUCAUUGCCAAAAUGUCUAGGCGGUUCACCGGCAGCGUCGGAGGGAGAUCUCUUGGGGUCAGGUGCAGCUACCGAUACGAGACGUACUCCUUCCUCGACGGCCCGGUGAUGGUCAGGCUGGCUGCGCCGCCGAGCUCGGCCGCGCCUGCGCCUGCGCCGGCAGUUGGGCCCACGGUUCCGACUCCAGGGGCGGUCGCCGGAGGUGAGUCUUCCUACUACAGUAUACUCAUAUUUCAUCUGGUCGCGUCGUGGCAUCCUUAA
RNAcentral lists this ribosomal RNA (897 nucleotides) under Triticum aestivum (bread wheat). Its description in RNAcentral is "partial small subunit ribosomal RNA". The record is from RNAcentral. Lineage: Eukaryota; Viridiplantae; Streptophyta; Magnoliopsida; Poales; Poaceae.